GAUGUUGGCUCAGAAGCAGCCAUACAUUCAAAGAGUGCGUAAUAGCUCACUAGUCGAGAGGUCCUGCGCCGAAAAUGAACCGGGGCUAAACACGACACCGAAGCUCAGGAAUCCGAAAGGAUUGGUAGAGGAGCAUUGCUGAAGCGACGAAGCAGUACCGGAAGGAGCUGUGGAGUUUCAGGAAGAGAGAAUGCCGGAAUGAGUAGCGAGAGAAAGGUGAGAAUCCUUUCGGCCGAAUAUCCAAGGUUUCCAGGGUAAAGCUGAUCUGCCCUGGGUAAGUCGGGGCCUAAGGCGAGGCAGAAAUGCGUAGUCGAUGGACAGCAGGUUGAGAUUCCUGCACCCGUAAUGAACAGAACUGUAGUGACACGGAAGGUAAGACAGAGCCGGGAAUGAGAAAACCGGUGCAAGCACAAUAGAUGUGUGGGAGGAAAAACCCCCGCAUAAGUCGAAGGUGUGACGCGGACCGAAAAAGAGUAGGGAAGCUGUUAAGCAAGCCGUCAAGAAAAGCUGCUAUUGUUUCAUUAUGGCCCGUACCGUAAACCGACACAGGUGGAUGGGGAGAGAAUCCUAAGGCCGGCGGAAGAAGUAUUGUUAAGGAACUCGGCAAAAUGACCCCGUAACUUCGGGAGAAGGGGUGCCUGCGAGAGCAGGCCGCAGAGAAGAGGCCCAAGCAACUGUUUAGCAAAAACACAGGUCUAUGCAAAACCGAAAGGUGAGGUAUAUGGGCUGACGCCUGCCCGGUGCUGGAAGGUUAAGAGGAGAGGUUAGCGCAAGCGAAGCUUUGAAUUUAAGCCCCAGUAAACGGCGGCCGUAACUAUAACGGUCCUAAGGUAGCGAAAUUCCUUGUCGGGUAAGUUCCGACCCGCACGAAAGGCGUAAUGAUUUGGGCGCUGUCUCGACAAUACAUCCGGUGAAAUUGAAGUGCCAGUGAAGAUGCUGGCUACCUGCGCCAGGACGGAAAGACCCCAUGGAGCUUUACUCCAGCUUGAUACUGGGACCCGGUAUUGCAUGUACAGGAUAGGUGGGAGGCUAGGAAAUGUGGACGCCAGUCUGCAUGGAGCCGCCGUUGGGAUACCACCCUUGUGGUGCUGGGUUUCUAACCAGAGGCCGUGAACCGGUCUGGGGACAAUGUCAGGUGGGGAGUUUGACUGGGGCGGUCGCCUCCGAAAGGGUAUCGGAGGCGCCCAAAGGUUCCCUCAGAAUGGUUGGAAACCAUUCGAAGAGUGCAAAGGCAGAAGGGAGCUUGACUGCGACACCGACGGGUGGAGCAGGUACGAAAGUAGGGCUUAGUGAUCCGGUGGUAUUAAGUGGGAAUGCCAUCGCUCAACGGAUAAAAGCUACCCUGGGGAUAACAGGCUUAUCACUCCCAAGAGUUCACAUCGACGGAGUGGUUUGGCACCUCGAUGUCGGCUCAUCGCAUCCUGGGGCUGUAGUAGGUCCCAAGGGUUGGGCUGUUCGCCCAUUAAAGCGGUACGCGAGCUGGGUUCAGAACGUCGUGAGACAGUUCGGUCCCUAUCCGGCGUGGGCGUAGGAUAUCUGAGAGGAGCUGUCCUUAGUACGAGAGGACCGGGAUGGACUGACCUCUGGUGUACCGGUUGGCGAUCAACGCCACGGCCGGGUAGCCAUGUCGGGACGGGAUAAACGCUGAAGGCAUCUAAGCGUGAAGCCCCCCUCAAGAUGAGAUAUCCCAUCGUAAGAGUAAGACCCCUUGAAGACGACGAGGUUGAUAGGGCAGGGGUGGAAGUGCCGUAAGGCAUGGAGCUGACUGCUACUAAUCGGUCGAGGGCUUGACCAA
RNAcentral lists this ribosomal RNA (1795 nucleotides) under human gut metagenome. Its description in RNAcentral is "bacterial LSU rRNA". It matches the Rfam family "Bacterial large subunit ribosomal RNA", at positions 1097 to 2925 of the family's 2925-position model. The record is from RNAcentral.